Long non-coding RNA from Urocitellus parryii (Arctic ground squirrel), 404 nucleotides. RefSeq lists it as uncharacterized. The record is from RefSeq and is a predicted model, not a curated record. Lineage: Eukaryota; Metazoa; Chordata; Mammalia; Rodentia; Sciuridae.
CUCGAACCCAGGCCGCACGCAUGCCAGCCUAUUCUGUUUCUUUGGAGAACCCUGACGCACAAGACCCUCAAUUGACAGGGAAGAGAGAAUGGAAUUGGAGGAGCAUGAAAGAGAAGGUUUGAGACUACAUUUUGCAGAGAGUGGGGGUGAAUGAACUGCAGCUGUGGAAAUGAUAAACCAUGCCCAACAUGGAAAGUGCACUACGUAUAGGAAGAUUGGAUUUGCAACUUUUCUAACACCCAGCAGGCUGCCUUAGCUGGACUGUUCACAGCACCUCUGAAAUGCCCACCUUUCCCCACAGAGUAAGGUGACACCUUGAAAUCCCAUUAGCUAUGUGUUCAGGAAGAGGACAAGGACUUAAAUAUCAGCCUUCAGGAACUGUUCUUUUUGUUGUUGUUUGCUUA